UACAGAGGUCCCAAGCGUUGUUCGGAUUCACUGGGCGUAAAGGGUGCGUAGGUGGGCAGGUAAGUCAGUGGUGAAAUCUCUGGGCUUAACCCGGAACUGCCGUUGAUACUAUCUGUCUUGAAUGUAGUGGAGGUUAGCGGAAUAUGUCAUGUAGCGGUGAAAUGCUUAGAUAUGACAUAGAACACCAAUUGCGAAGGCAGCUGGCUACACAAAUAUUGACACUGAUGCACGAAAGCGUGGGGAUCAAACAGG
RNAcentral lists this ribosomal RNA (252 nucleotides) under uncultured bacterium. Its description in RNAcentral is "partial 16S ribosomal RNA". It matches the Rfam family "Bacterial small subunit ribosomal RNA", at positions 524 to 776 of the family's 1533-position model. The record is from RNAcentral.